CCUACGGGAGGCAGCAGUGGGGAAUAUUGCGCAAUGGGGGAAACCCUGACGCAGCGACGCCGCGUGAAGGAUGAAGGCCUUCGGGUUGUAAACUCCUUUUCUUGGGGAAAAUGAUGAUGGUACCCAAGGAAUAAGCCACGGCUAACUCUGUGCCAGCAGCCGCGGUAAGACAGAGGUGGCGAGCGUUGUUCGGAAUUACUGGGCUUAAAGGGCGAGUAGGCGGUGAGAUAAGUCUAAGGUGGAAUCCUCUGGCUUAACCAGAAAAUUGCCUUAGAUACUGUUUCACUUGAGUCAGUGAGGGGAGGGCGAAAUUCCCGGUGUAGCGGUAAAAUGCGGAGAUAUCGGGAGGAGGGCCGGUGGCGAAGGCGGCCCUCGGGCGCUGAACUGACGCCGAGGCGCGAAAGCGUGGGGAGCAAACAGGAUUAGAUCCCCUGGUAGU
Molecule: ribosomal RNA, 439 nt
Filed under: uncultured Nitrospirales bacterium
Lineage: Bacteria; Pseudomonadati; Nitrospirota; Nitrospiria; Nitrospirales
Description: partial 16S ribosomal RNA
Rfam family: Bacterial small subunit ribosomal RNA
Source: RNAcentral